UAGAAGGGGGUGCAGUAAAAGAGUCUGUGGUGACUCUUUGGGAAUAGAGUGGUAGCUAAGAGGAAACCUAGUGGGAGAGUAAGCCCUUAUAUCCUUGCCUGACUAGAGAAGGGUGGCAAGUACUCAGGGGAAGUGUAGAGCAGCCACUGGGAGUAGAACAGGUUUCAGUGGUAAGCUCUCAUAAAAGGACAGUAUUUAGAUAUUGGUUUGAAUUUCAGGGGGAAGGCUCUGAGAGUCCCAGGGGGAGGGCUCUGAAAGUCCCAACCUGAGAGAAAGGAAAAUCUAAAGAGGUUCCCAGGGACAAGGCCUGUGAAAGGCUGCAGUAGGUGGAAGCCUAGGAGUGGACUAAAUCAUGACCUAGCUGGAGGGCUGAGCUAUGAGAGAAGAACCACCACAGUGACGGUUAGCAGAAAGGCCCAGAUUGGGAGACAGCUGCCAGCCCAGCCACAAGGAGGUGCUCUAGCAAAACCUGACAGAGCUCUUUAUGAGCAUUACUGAAAGUUUAAUUUGGGAAGAGGAGACAUGAGAAAUGGGUAAGCAAGAGAGGAGAAAGCAACAGUAAAAGUCAAGAAGCAACCCAGCUGUGGAAACUUUUGGCACUGACAAGUAUAAAGAGGAAACAACAAACAGGGUGCAUAAGCCCCAGAAGAUAGUUCUUGAUGCUAAUAAAGUAUGAAACUACUGC
This is a long non-coding RNA of Mauremys reevesii (Reeves's turtle), 685 nucleotides long. RefSeq lists it as uncharacterized. The transcript has 4 exons. NCBI's taxonomy places the organism in Eukaryota, Metazoa, Chordata, Testudines, Geoemydidae. The record is from RefSeq and is a predicted model, not a curated record.